This 68-nucleotide transfer RNA is filed under the name Enoplometopus debelius. RNAcentral's name for it is "tRNA-Tyr". It matches the Rfam family "tRNA". Rfam says of the family: Transfer RNA (tRNA) molecules are approximately 80 nucleotides in length. Their secondary structure includes four short double-helical elements and three loops (D, anti-codon, and T loops). Further hydrogen bonds mediate the characteristic L-shaped molecular structure. tRNAs have two regions of fundamental functional importance: the anti-codon, which is responsible for specific mRNA codon recognition, and the 3' end, to which the tRNAs corresponding amino acid is attached (by aminoacyl-tRNA synthetases). tRNAs cope with the degeneracy of the genetic code in two manners: having more than one tRNA (with a specific anti-codon) for a particular amino acid; and 'wobble' base-pairing, i.e. permitting non-standard base-pairing at the 3rd anti-codon position. Lineage: Eukaryota; Metazoa; Arthropoda; Malacostraca; Decapoda; Enoplometopidae. The record is from RNAcentral.
AAUAAGAUGGCUGAGAUAUAUUAGGCGAUAGAUUGUAAAUCUAUAUAGAAGUUUGAACUUUCUUAUUA